This 203-nucleotide long non-coding RNA is filed under the name Vigna radiata. RNAcentral's name for it is "long non-coding RNA (VRAD_LNC014824)". Lineage: Eukaryota; Viridiplantae; Streptophyta; Magnoliopsida; Fabales; Fabaceae. The record is from RNAcentral.
GGCAAGGCAAGGUGAAGAAAGCUUGGAAACACCCAGCUUUUUAAAGCUUCGGGUUUCAUUUUCCGCCGCCACCGCCCGACAGAAAAGUGGUACCGCCCGGCGGUGGAUGGUAAUUUUCCUUACCACUUUUCUUGCUUUCCUCCUUGUGAUUUCUCUUGGUGACUCUUGAUCUCUUCCCUAAAUUUUCAAUCUCAAGAUUUUCC